RNAcentral lists this ribosomal RNA (253 nucleotides) under uncultured Ruminococcus sp. RNAcentral describes it as "partial 16S ribosomal RNA". It matches the Rfam family "Bacterial small subunit ribosomal RNA", at positions 524 to 776 of the family's 1533-position model. Lineage: Bacteria; Bacillati; Bacillota; Clostridia; Eubacteriales; Oscillospiraceae. The record is from RNAcentral.
UACGUAGGGAGCAAGCGUUGUCCGGAUUUACUGGGUGUAAAGGGUGCGUAGGCGGCUUAGCAAGUCAGAAGUGAAAUCCAUGGGCUUAACCCAUGAACUGCUUUUGAAACUGCUAAGCUUGAGUGGAGUAGAGGUAGGCGGAAUGUAUGGUGUAGCGGUGAAAUGCUUAGAGAUCAUACAGAACACCGAUUGCGAAGGCAGCUUACCAAUCUAUAUCUGACGUUGAGGCACGAAAGCGUGGGGAGCAAACAGG